Molecule: ribosomal RNA, 492 nt
Filed under: uncultured bacterium
Lineage: Bacteria
Description: partial 16S ribosomal RNA
Rfam family: Bacterial small subunit ribosomal RNA
Source: RNAcentral
AGUGAACGCUGGCGGUAGGCCUAACACAUGCAAGUCGAACGGCAGCACAGUAAGAGCUUGCUCUUACGGGUGGCGAGUGGCGGACGGGUGAGGAAUACAUCGGAAUCUACUUUUUCGUGGGGGAUAACGUAGGGAAACUUACGCUAAUACCGCAUACGACCUACGGGUGAAAGCAGGGGAUCUUCGGACCUUGCGCGAUUGAAUGAGCCGAUGUCGGAUUAGCUAGUUGGCGGGGUAAAGGCCCACCAAGGCGACGAUCCGUAGCUGGUCUGAGAGGAUGAUCAGCCACACUGGAACUGAGACACGGUCCAGACUCCUACGGGAGGCAGCAGUGGGGAAUAUUGGACAAUGGGCGCAAGCCUGAUACAGCCAUACCGCGUGGGUGAAGAAGGCCUUCGGGUUGUAAAGCCCUUUUGUUGGGAAAGAAAAGAAGCAGGUUAAUACCCCGCUGUUCUGACGGUACCCAAAGAAUAAGCACCGGCUAACUUCGUG